This 468-nucleotide ribosomal RNA is filed under the name uncultured bacterium. RNAcentral describes it as "partial 16S ribosomal RNA". It matches the Rfam family "Bacterial small subunit ribosomal RNA", at positions 28 to 507 of the family's 1533-position model. The record is from RNAcentral.
GACGAACGCUGGCGGCGUGCUUAACACAUGCAAGUCGAACGGAAAGGCCCUGCUUUUGUGGGGUGCUCGAGUGGCGAACGGGUGAGUAACACGUGAGUAACCUGCCCUUGACUUUGGGAUAACUUCAGGAAACUGGGGCGAAUACCGGAUAGGAGCUCCUGCUGCAUGGUGGGGGUUGGAAAAUUUCGGCGGUUGGGGAUGGACUCGCGGCUUAUCAGCUUGUUGGUGGGGUAGGGGCUUACCAAGGCUUUGACGGGUAGCCGGCCUGAGCGGGUGACCGGCCACAUUGGGCCUGAGAUACGGCCCAGACUCCUACGGGACGCAGUAGUGGGGAAUAUUGCACAAUGGGCGGACGCCUGAUGCAGCAACGCCGCGUGCGGGAUGACGGCCUUCGGGUUGUAAACCGCUUUCGCCUGUGACGAAGCGUGAGUGACGGUAAUGGGUAAAGAAGCACCGGCUAACUACGUG